AUCCUUAUGCUAGGGCAUUACGUGUAUCAGUGAGGAUUCGUCCGAGAUCAUGUGUUUGCUAGUUGAAAACUUCAACAUGACUGCUCUCAGCUCUUCUUCUAGAUGGGCUGGGGAAUUUUUGGAACCCCAAAACCAAG
This 137-nucleotide small nuclear RNA is filed under the name Pichia kudriavzevii. Its description in RNAcentral is "U4 spliceosomal RNA". It matches the Rfam family "U4 spliceosomal RNA". From Rfam's summary of the family: U4 small nuclear RNA (U4 snRNA) is a component of the major U2-dependent spliceosome. The structure of U4 snRNA from yeast and human has been reported. U4 snRNA presents a k-turn RNA motif in the 5p-SL related to recognition of Snu13 protein. Lineage: Eukaryota; Fungi; Ascomycota; Pichiomycetes; Pichiales; Pichiaceae. The record is from Rfam by way of RNAcentral.